CUGCCAAUCCUCCUCUUUUAGCUGAGGAAGAUUGGCCCUGAGCUAACAUCUGUGCCCAUCUUCCUCUACUUUAUAUGUGGGACACCUACCACAGCAUGGCGUGCCAAGCAGUACCAUUUCUGCCGCCGUGAUCCGGACUGGCGAACCCCGGGCCACUGAAGCGGAACGUGCACACUUAACUGUCGCGCCACCGGGCCAGCCCCUGGGUUUUCACUUCUGAGAGGUUGACGCAGGUGCUUUCGCAGUUCACAGGCCUCUUCACUUAGCUGCUGAUUCAUCUCACUGAAAUGGGGCAGCAGCCAGGCCUGCCACUGAUCCAUCUUCCCCUGGAUCCUGCCUCAGCUCCUUUCACUUCUAUACCAGGACCCUUGCCAUUCUGUGUUUUCUGUAGCUACCCAUAUCACUAGAACUAAUUAUUAUCAAGGAUCAGAGAAGGAGAAAGACCCGGAUAAAGGAAAGUAAAGAAAGUUUCCUCUCAGGGGCCAGCCUGGUGGCACAGAGGUAUCAUUGGCAAUGUUGGUUGGUUGGAUUUGUAACAUCAUCAGUAGAAUGAUCACUCACAAGAAAAGAGAUUCAGAGGAAGCACAUCAUGAUCCCUUUGAAGAAUCACUACAUUCCAGAAUAAUCCCAUCCAGUGUUCUGAGGAGUCCGUCUCACCCCUCUGGGUGUCUUAUAAAAAUUAAAUUAGGAAAAAAAAGAAAAUGUACACAAUGUUGAGACCUGCUUUGAAUCCUAAAUUGAACAUAAAGUUGCGUAUAUGUAAGUUCUUGCCCCCAUCAUAGUGUUUCUUAAAGUAUGAAUGAAUAAACAGACAAAAUUUCAAAAGCAAGAAAAAAGAUCAAGUUAUGUUAAGUGAAAAAAUUGGACUAUUAAAACUAUGGUCAUUAUGGUAGAACUGGUUUUAUGUUUAUAGUAAUUAAAAUUCAUACAAGAAAGGAGUGAGAGGAAAUAUGUCAACAUAUUAGCAGUGGUAAACCCUGGACGACAGGAUUGCAGGUGAUUCUUAUAUGGAAAGUUUGUGAUUUACUGCCAGGGGAUCUUUUAGGGGUAUCCUGAACCACUUCCAUAUUGGUAUCCAUGUGAAAUUGUGCAAUUAUUCUCUCUCUCAUGGGCUCCGAACUCAAUUUUAUUCACAUCUAGGAAAGGGAAACUUUUAGGAGGAAACAAUCCCUUGGUCUCCUUCCCCUACCUCUCUCAUUCCGACUUAUCAAUUGACAUAAAUGCUAAUCACCGAUUUUCUCUGAGGCCUUAGGCAAAUCUCACAUUGGCAUUUACAGAUUCAUUAUUUGAAUAAUUAAAUGUUAAUUAUAAUUCUUAGUUUAUUCAAUAUAGCAUAGGACACUUUGACUUAUUUUCCUUAAUUGACCCCAUAAUUUUGAUUUAUGUUCUUCAUCCAAAGUUUACUGCCUGAUAAAUGUUUAAUAAUUAUGCCAUUUAGAGAUAUUGAUGCUUAAAAAAUUGCAACCAUUUAUAUCAGGAAAUGAAAAUGCAGUCUAACCAAUUUUCUAUGUGCCGAUGAAAAGUGAAACACUUGAUCCUUUACCUAGGCAUCUCCAAGAGUCCCUAUGCUUGAGCUAUAUAGAGAUAACAUUACAGAUUCAGUGUAAGGAAUAUAUUCUGAUAAAUUUCAAUUUAUUUAUAACCCAUCCAUUUGUUCAACAAAUAUUUGUUGAGGACCUACUGUGUGUCAGGCAAUGUUCUAGGCCUACAGAUAUAGCAAUGAUCAAAAGAGACAAAUCUAUCACCUCAUGGAGUGAACAUUUAGGGGGAGAAUGGGAAAUAAAUAAAUAAUUAUAUAUAAUAUAUCUGGAGGACAUAAGUGGGGAAAGGUGAUAUAAAGUAUUGACAUUGAAAUUUUAACUAAAUUAUUGAACGGAAAAAUCAACAGACGUUGACUUUUUAUUGAGGUUUAACGUAAAAAUAAUAAAAUGUAUAGUUCUUAAGUUUUUGACAGUUCUGAAGUUUGACAACUGUAUAUGCUCAUGCUACAAGUCCUGAAACAAGAUGUAGAACACUUCCGUCUCUCCAUAGUUUCCCUUUUCUAGUACCAGGAAAUCCUUCUUUCCACUCCCAUAAGCAGCUUCUGUUCUGAUUUCUGUCACUCUAGCUUAGUUUUGCCGGUUCUUUGACUUCAUAUUUGUGAGAUUGUACAGUAUUUAUUUGUGUCGUGUGUAUGCGUAUGCACAUGCACGCACUUGUGUUUGCCUAGCUACUUUUGCUCAAUGUAAUAUUGGUACGAUUCAUCCAAGUUGUGCACAUAUCAAUAGUUUGUUACUUCAUAUGGCAGGACAGUGUCCAGCAUGAGUUUUCAUAAUUUUUUGAUUCACUGUCCUGUU
This is a long non-coding RNA of Equus caballus (horse), 2336 nucleotides long. The record is from Ensembl. NCBI's taxonomy places the organism in Eukaryota, Metazoa, Chordata, Mammalia, Perissodactyla, Equidae.